AAAACAUCGCCUUUUGAAAUCUAUAAAAGGUCCAGCCUGCCCAGUGACUCUGUUUAACGGCCGCGGUAUCCUGACCGUGCGAAGGUAGCGUAAUCACUUGUUCUCUAAAUAAGGACCAGUAUGAAUGGCAUCACGAGAAUUACACUGUCUCCUUUUUCUAAUCAGUGAAACUAAUCUCCCCGUGAAGAAGCGAGGACAUACCUAUAAGACGAGAAGACCCUGUGGAACUUAAAAUUAAGCAGAAAUUGAAUUAAACUCCAAUAUUACUGCAAACUUUCGGCUGGGGCGACCGCGGAGUAUAAACCACCCUCCGCAUUGAACGGAUUAACACCCUAAACAAAAACUACACCUUUAAGUAUCAGCAGACUGACAUCAAUUGACCCGAUACAUCGAUCAAUGAACCAAGCUACCCCAGGGAUAACAGCGCCAUCCACUUCGAGAGCUCAUAUCGACAAGUGGGCUUACGACCUCGAUGUUGGAUCAGGAUACCCCGGUGGUGUAGCCGCUACCAAAGGUUCGUUCGUUCAACGAUUAAAAUCCUA
Molecule: ribosomal RNA, 542 nt
Filed under: Flectonotus fitzgeraldi (Mount Tucutche treefrog)
Lineage: Eukaryota; Metazoa; Chordata; Amphibia; Anura; Hemiphractidae
Description: partial 16S ribosomal RNA
Rfam family: Bacterial large subunit ribosomal RNA
Source: RNAcentral